RNAcentral lists this ribosomal RNA (292 nucleotides) under uncultured bacterium. Its description in RNAcentral is "partial 16S ribosomal RNA". It matches the Rfam family "Bacterial small subunit ribosomal RNA", at positions 505 to 796 of the family's 1533-position model. The record is from RNAcentral.
GUGUCAGCCGCCGCGGUAAGACGAACCGAGCGAACGUUGUUCGGAAUCACUGGGCUUAAAGGGCGCGUAGGCGGGUGCUCAAGUCCGUGGUGAAAUCCUCCGGCUCAACCGGAGAACUGCCUCGGAUACUGGGCGUCUCGAGUGUGGUAGGGGUAUGCGGAACUAUCGGUGGAGCGGUGAAAUGCGUUGAUAUCGAUAGGAACUCCGGUGGCGAAGGCGGCAUACUGGACCACUACUGACGCUGAUGCGCGAAAGCCAGGGGAGCAAACGGGAUUAGAUACCCUGGUAGUCC